Molecule: ribosomal RNA, 517 nt
Filed under: uncultured bacterium
Lineage: Bacteria
Description: partial 16S ribosomal RNA
Rfam family: Bacterial small subunit ribosomal RNA
Source: RNAcentral
AACGAACGCUGGCGGCGUGGAUAAGACAUGCAAGUCGAACGGGAUUUUUUUCUGUAGCAAUACAGAGAAAAGUCUAGUGGCGAACGGGUGCGUAACACGUAAGCAACCUGCCGUGAAGUGGGGGAUAGCUCGCCGAAAGGCGAAUUAAUACCGCAUGUGGCCAAGGAAGACAUCUUCCUUACGCCAAAGCCGGGGCAACCUGGCGCUUCUCGAGGGGCUCGCGGCCUAUCAGCUUGUUGGUGAGGUAACGGCUCACCAAGGCUAUGACGGGUAGCUGGUAUGAGAGGACGACCAGCCACACUGGAACCGAGACACGGUCCAGACACCUACGGGUGGCAGCAGUCGAGAAUUUUUCACAAUGGGGGAAACCCUGAUGGAGCGACGCCGCGUGGAGGAUGAAGGUUGUCGGAUUGUAACCUCCUGUCAUUAGAGAACAAGGCACACGGUUUAACUGGCCGUGUGUUGAUAGUAUCUGAAGAGGAAGAGACGGCUAACUCUGUGCCAGCCGCCGCCGUAA